UGAACGCUGGCGGCAUGCCUUACACAUGCAAGUCGAACGGCAGCACGGGAGCAAUCCUGGUGGCGAGUGGCGAACGGGUGAGUAAUACAUCGGAACGUGCCCUGUAGUGGGGGAUAACUAGUCGAAAGACUAGCUAAUACCGCAUACGACCUGAGGGUGAAAGUGGGGGACCGCAAGGCCUCAUGCUAUAGGAGCGGCCGAUGUCUGAUUAGCUAGUUGGUGGGGUAAAGGCCUACCAAGGCGACGAUCAGUAGCUGGUCUGAGAGGACGAUCAGCCACACUGGGACUGAGACACGGCCCAGACUCCUACGGGAGGCAGCAGUGGGGAAUUUUGGACAAUGGGGGCAACCCUGAUCCAGCAAUGCCGCGUGUGUGAAGAAGGCCUUCGGGUUGCAAAGCACUUUUGUCCGGGAAGAAAUCGCACCUGAUAAUACCGGGUGUGGAUGACGGUACCGGAAGAAUAAGGACCGGCUAACUACGUGCCAGCAGCCGCGGUAAUACGUAGGGUCCAAGCGUUAAUCGGAAUUACUGGGCGUAAAGCGUGCGCAGGCGGUUGUGCAAGACCGAUGUGAAAUCCCCGGGCUUAACCUGGGAAUUGC
RNAcentral lists this ribosomal RNA (599 nucleotides) under bacterium enrichment culture clone F44x_E2_T3_A07. Its description in RNAcentral is "bacterial SSU rRNA". It matches the Rfam family "Bacterial small subunit ribosomal RNA", at positions 30 to 624 of the family's 1533-position model. The record is from RNAcentral.